AGUGAACGCUGGCGGUAGGCCUAACACAUGCAAGUCGAACGGCAGCACAGUAAGAGCUUGCUCUUACGGGUGGCGAGUGGCGGACGGGUGAGGAAUACAUCGGAAUCUACUUUUUCGUGGGGGAUAACGUAGGGAAACUUACGCUAAUACCGCAUACGACCUACGGGUGAAAGCAGGGGAUCUUCGGACCUUGCGCGAUUGAAUGAGCCGAUGUCGGAUUAGCUAGUUGGUGGGGUAAAGGCCCACCAAGGCGACGAUCCGUAGCUGGUCUGAGAGGAUGAUCAGCCACACUGGAACUGAGACACGGUCCAGACUCCUACGGGAGGCAGCAGUGGGGAAUAUUGGACAAUGGGCGCAAGCCUGAUCCAGCCAUACCGCGUGGGUGAAGAAGGCCUUCGGGUUGUAAAGCCCUUUUGUUGGGAAAGAAAAGCAGCAGGUUAAUACCUCGCUGUUCUGACGGUACCCAAAGAAUAAGCACCGGCUAACUUCGUG
RNAcentral lists this ribosomal RNA (492 nucleotides) under uncultured bacterium. RNAcentral's name for it is "partial 16S ribosomal RNA". It matches the Rfam family "Bacterial small subunit ribosomal RNA", at positions 29 to 507 of the family's 1533-position model. The record is from RNAcentral.